UGUGGGAGCGAGCUUGCUCGCGAUAGCGGUGUGUCAGUCGACAUUGAGGUUGGCUGAUCCAAAGCUAUCGCGAGCAAGCUCGCUCCCACA
Molecule: unclassified non-coding RNA, 90 nt
Filed under: Pseudomonas brassicacearum
Lineage: Bacteria; Pseudomonadati; Pseudomonadota; Gammaproteobacteria; Pseudomonadales; Pseudomonadaceae
Source: RNAcentral